This 888-nucleotide long non-coding RNA is filed under the name Triticum aestivum (bread wheat). RNAcentral's name for it is "long non-coding RNA (TAES_LNC004878)". The record is from RNAcentral. Lineage: Eukaryota; Viridiplantae; Streptophyta; Magnoliopsida; Poales; Poaceae.
CUGGCUUAGAGCUAUGCGCAGGCCAACUUCCUAAUAAUCUUUCUUACUACCAUCACCAGGUUUUGCUGAAUCUAGUCAUCCAAAAGCAGAUGAUCAGAUGACAAAACUCGGUGUGCACAAUUAAAACAAUAGACAUAUCAUUCUGGGGUUACCAAAAGAAGCUACCCAAAAAAAAGGACCAGAAAGAUAACCCACGAAAGAGAAAACAAUGUGGACAUUCCUUCGGCUGAUUCCACCUCAGUGUUCAUAGACCGUUACAAUAUGCAAAAGCAUCUCAUCAGUUGUGAGGCAUAUUAUUAACAUAGUGCCUUCAAACAAAAACCUAGCGUGUUACGCGCUCAAAAUUUCCGAGUUCUCUGCAGACAUCUCAGAUGUUAUUUGAGGGGGUACUCCUCAAACAGGACUUGCUAAACAAACUGUUUACAACAAUUACAAUUUGCCUCGUCGUCGCAAUCAUCUCUCUAUUGCUCGGCUGCGAUCUUUCGGAUGACAUAUGGUAGAAUACCACCAUGGGUGUAGUAAGCAAGCUCCACCUGAAUGGAAAUCAACAAUUUCAACAUCAGAAAUCACCAUUGAUAGUCAACACUCGCCUAGACAAAAUGCUCAGGAAAGAAUGUCUGUACCUCAGUGUCAAAGCGGAGUGUGCAGGUGAACGACUUGCCGUUGUCGGUUGUGACCGUAACAUCUUGGCCAGGCUUGAUUUCAUUCACAUCAGUCGGAAGCUGGAUGGUGUAGCGCUCAUGGCCUGUUAAGCCAAGAGUGUCGGCAUCCUCCCCAGCCUUGAAGCAUAGAGGGACGAUGCCCAUUCCAGCGAGAUUGCUACGGUGAAUCCUCUCAAAACUCUUGGCUAUCACAGCCUUCACUCCCUGCAGUCACAAAGUCAAAGCA